CCUCUCUCUCUCUCUCUCUGUCCGUCCCUCUCUCUCUCUCUGUCCCUCCCAAUCUCUCUGUCCGUCCCUCCCUCUCUCUGUCCGUCCCUCCCUCUCUCUCUCUCUGUCCCUCUCUCUCUCUCUGUCCGUCCCUCCCUCUCUCUGUCUGUCCUCCCUCUCUCUCUCUCUGUCGUCCCUCCUCUCUCUCUGUCCGUCCCUCCCUCUCUCUCUCUGUCCGUCCCUCCCUCUCUCUCUGUCAGUCCUCCCUCUCUCUCUGUCGGUCCCUCCCUCUCUCUCUCUGUCCGUCCACUCCCUCUCUCUCUCUGUCCGUCCCUCCCUCUCUCUCUCUGUCCGUCCCUCCCUCUCUCUC
Molecule: long non-coding RNA, 349 nt
Organism: Oncorhynchus tshawytscha (Chinook salmon)
Lineage: Eukaryota; Metazoa; Chordata; Actinopteri; Salmoniformes; Salmonidae
Source: Ensembl